Molecule: ribosomal RNA, 247 nt
Filed under: uncultured bacterium
Lineage: Bacteria
Description: partial 16S ribosomal RNA
Rfam family: Bacterial small subunit ribosomal RNA
Source: RNAcentral
AUACGUAGGGGGCGAGCGUUGUCCGGAAUGAUUGGGCGUAAAGGGCGCGUAGGCGGCCUGAUAAGUCUGGAGUGAAAGUCCUGCUUUCAAGGUGGGAAUUGCUUUGGAUACUGUUGGGCUGGAGUGCAGGAGAGGAAAGCGGAAUUACCGGUGUAGCGGUGAAAUGCGUAGAGAUCGGUAGGAACACCAGUGGCGAAGGCGGAUUACUGGACGAUAACUGACGGUGAGGCGCGAAAGCGUGGGGAGC